GAUCAACGCUGGCGGCGUGCCUAAUACAUGCAAGUCGAGCGAACAGAUGAGGAGCUUGCUCCUCUGACGUUAGCGGCGGACGGGUGAGUAACACGUGGAUAACCUACCUAUAAGACUGGGAUAACUUCGGGAAACCGGAGCUAAUACCGGAUAAUAUAUUGAACCGCAUGGUUCAAUAGUGAAAGACGGUUUUGCUGUCACUUAUAGAUGGAUCCGCGCCGCAUUAGCUAGUUGGUAAGGUAACGGCUUACCAAGGCAACGAUGCGUAGCCGACCUGAGAGGGUGAUCGGCCACACUGGAACUGAGACACGGUCCAGACUCCUACGGGAGGCAGCAGUAGGGAAUCUUCCGCAAUGGGCGAAAGCCUGACGGAGCAACGCCGCGUGAGUGAUGAAGGUCUUCGGAUCGUAAAACUCUGUUAUUAGGGAAGAACAAAUGUGUAAGUAACUAUGCACGUCUUGACGGUACCUAAUCAGAAAGCCACGGCUAACUACGUG
RNAcentral lists this ribosomal RNA (497 nucleotides) under uncultured bacterium. RNAcentral's name for it is "partial 16S ribosomal RNA". It matches the Rfam family "Bacterial small subunit ribosomal RNA", at positions 28 to 507 of the family's 1533-position model. The record is from RNAcentral.